This 918-nucleotide ribosomal RNA is filed under the name uncultured bacterium. RNAcentral describes it as "bacterial SSU rRNA". It matches the Rfam family "Bacterial small subunit ribosomal RNA", at positions 8 to 916 of the family's 1533-position model. The record is from RNAcentral.
AGAGUUUGAUCCUGGCUCAGGAUGAACGCUAGCUACAGGCUUAACACAUGCAAGUCGAGGGGAAACGACAUCGAAAGCUUGCUUUUGAUGGGCGUCGACCGGCGCACGGGUGAGUAACGCGUAUCCAACCUGCCCACCACUUGGGGAUAACCUUGCGAAAGUAAGACUAAUACCCAAUGACGUCUCUAGAAGACAUCUGAAAGAGAUUAAAGAUUUAUCGGUGAUGGAUGGGGAUGCGUCUGAUUAGCUUGUUGGCGGGGUAACGGCCCACCAAGGCUACGAUCAGUAGGGGUUCUGAGAGGAAGGUCCCCCACAUUGGAACUGAGACACGGUCCAAACUCCUACGGGAGGCAGCAGUGAGGAAUAUUGGUCAAUGGGCGAGAGCCUGAACCAGCCAAGUAGCGUGCAGGAUGACGGCCCUAUGGGUUGUAAACUGCUUUUAUAAGGGAAUAAAGUGAGUCUCGUGAGACUUUUUGCAUGUACCUUAUGAAUAAGGACCGGCUAAUUCCGUGCCAGCAGCCGCGGUAAUACGGAAGGUCCGGGCGUUAUCCGGAUUUAUUGGGUUUAAAGGGAGCGUAGGCCGGAGAUUAAGCGUGUUGUGAAAUGUAGAUGCUCAACAUCUGCACUGCAGCGCGAACUGGUUUCCUUGAGUACGCACAAAGUGGGCGGAAUUCGUGGUGUAGCGGUGAAAUGCUUAGAUAUCACGAAGAACUCCGAUUGCGAAGGCAGCUCACUGGAGCGCAACUGACGCUGAAGCUCGAAAGUGCGGGUAUCGAACAGGAUUAGAUACCCUGGUAGUCCGCACGGUAAACGAUGGAUGCCCGCUGUUGGUCUGAAUAGGUCAGCGGCCAAGCGAAAGCAUUAAGCAUCCCACCUGGGGAGUACGCCGGCAACGGUGAAACUCAAAGGAAUUGACGG